This is an RNA transcript of Rhinopithecus roxellana (golden snub-nosed monkey), 349 nucleotides long. It is a transcript of the gene named beta-defensin 109 pseudogene, with no coding region annotated. The record is from RefSeq and is a predicted model, not a curated record. The transcript is spliced from 2 exons. Lineage: Eukaryota; Metazoa; Chordata; Mammalia; Primates; Cercopithecidae.
AUGGCCCUCAGUAACCCACUCUGGCAGAAGACACUGGCAUUUUUGCCGCAGGGACUAUCUCACUGGAUCUUCUUUCCUGCAGUAAGAGGUGGUUUGGGUGCUGCUGAAGGUCAUUGUCUCAAUUUGUCUGGUGUUUGCAGAAGAGAUGUCUGCAAAGUAGUAGAAGAUCAAAUUGGUGCCUGCCGAAGAAGGAUGAAGUGCUGUAGAGCAUGGAGGAUUUUAAUGCCAAUUCCAACACCACUUAUCAUGUCAGAUUAUCAAGAACCCCUUAAACCUAAGUUGAAAUGAAACUGACAUAAAAUAAAAAUACAUCAAAAGUGAAGUUAUUUGCAUCUAAGAAUAUUAAAAU